AUUGAACGCUGGCGGCAGGCCUAACACAUGCAAGUCGAGCGGGGUUUUCGGACCUAGCGGCGGACGGGUGAGUAAUGCGUAGGAAGCUACCCGAUAGAGGGGAUACCAGUUGGAAACGACUGUUAAUACCGCAUAAUGUCUACGGGUGAAAGUGGGGGACCGCAAGGCCUCACGCAGAAAGAUGAGCCGACGCCCGAUUAGCUAGUUGGUGAGGUAAAGGCUCACCAAGGCGACGAUCGGUAGCUGGUCUGAGAGGAUGAUCAGCCACACUGGGACUGAGACACGGCCCAGACUCCUACGGGAGGCAGCAGUGGGGAAUAUUGGACAAUGGGCGCAAGCCUGAUCCAGCCAUGCCGCGUGUGUGAAGAAGGCCUUCGGGUUGUUAAAGCACUUUGUCCGGUAA
This 403-nucleotide ribosomal RNA is filed under the name uncultured bacterium. RNAcentral's name for it is "bacterial SSU rRNA". It matches the Rfam family "Bacterial small subunit ribosomal RNA", at positions 30 to 445 of the family's 1533-position model. The record is from RNAcentral.